CCAUUUCUAUUGCUCUCAGCUACCAAGUGACAAGAUUAAUUUCAUCUUCUAUCAAUGAACUUCUAGUUUCAUUGCAGUCAUUAAACUUCAGUUUGUAAGUUAAAAAUUGUUCAACUGUGAUUUUUUUUCCCCCGGUAAGGUCACCAUUUUAAAUUUUGGUAGAAUUGCAAUUAGAUUUUUGACGUGAUAUAUUUAUUAAAAUUUUACAAUUAAAAAUAUGCUAUGGAUUUCUUAUUUAGUCAGCAUAGCAAAAUUUUGACUUAAUC
Molecule: unclassified non-coding RNA, 266 nt
Filed under: Hevea brasiliensis (rubber tree)
Lineage: Eukaryota; Viridiplantae; Streptophyta; Magnoliopsida; Malpighiales; Euphorbiaceae
Source: RNAcentral